Molecule: transfer RNA, 78 nt
Filed under: Ignavibacteriaceae bacterium
Lineage: Bacteria; Pseudomonadati; Ignavibacteriota; Ignavibacteria; Ignavibacteriales; Ignavibacteriaceae
Also listed under: 1 other name
Description: tRNA-Val
Rfam family: tRNA
About the family: Transfer RNA (tRNA) molecules are approximately 80 nucleotides in length. Their secondary structure includes four short double-helical elements and three loops (D, anti-codon, and T loops).
Source: RNAcentral
GGGCGCUUAGCUCAGUUGGUUCAGAGCAUCUGCCUUACAAGCAGAGGGUCGGAGGUUCGACUCCUUCAGCGCCCACCA